GCCCUCCUGACGGAAUGGUAGACGCACCUGACUCAAAAUCAGGCGGGGAAACUCGUGCCAGUUCGAGUCUGGCGGAGGGCACCA
This 84-nucleotide transfer RNA is filed under the name Devosia rhodophyticola. RNAcentral's name for it is "Devosia sp. G2-5 tRNA-Leu". It matches the Rfam family "tRNA". From Rfam's summary of the family: Transfer RNA (tRNA) molecules are approximately 80 nucleotides in length. Their secondary structure includes four short double-helical elements and three loops (D, anti-codon, and T loops). Further hydrogen bonds mediate the characteristic L-shaped molecular structure. tRNAs have two regions of fundamental functional importance: the anti-codon, which is responsible for specific mRNA codon recognition, and the 3' end, to which the tRNAs corresponding amino acid is attached (by aminoacyl-tRNA synthetases). tRNAs cope with the degeneracy of the genetic code in two manners: having more than one tRNA (with a specific anti-codon) for a particular amino acid; and 'wobble' base-pairing, i.e. permitting non-standard base-pairing at the 3rd anti-codon position. Lineage: Bacteria; Pseudomonadati; Pseudomonadota; Alphaproteobacteria; Hyphomicrobiales; Devosiaceae. The record is from RNAcentral. RNAcentral also lists the same sequence under 1 other name.